CCUGGUGGCUCAGACAGUAAAGAAUCUGCCUGCAAUGCAGGAGACCCAGGUUCGAUCCCUGGGCCAGGA
Molecule: transfer RNA, 69 nt
Filed under: Ovis aries (sheep)
Lineage: Eukaryota; Metazoa; Chordata; Mammalia; Artiodactyla; Bovidae
Rfam family: tRNA
About the family: Transfer RNA (tRNA) molecules are approximately 80 nucleotides in length. Their secondary structure includes four short double-helical elements and three loops (D, anti-codon, and T loops). Further hydrogen bonds mediate the characteristic L-shaped molecular structure. tRNAs have two regions of fundamental functional importance: the anti-codon, which is responsible for specific mRNA codon recognition, and the 3' end, to which the tRNAs corresponding amino acid is attached (by aminoacyl-tRNA synthetases). tRNAs cope with the degeneracy of the genetic code in two manners: having more than one tRNA (with a specific anti-codon) for a particular amino acid; and 'wobble' base-pairing, i.e. permitting non-standard base-pairing at the 3rd anti-codon position.
Source: Rfam by way of RNAcentral